This 259-nucleotide ribosomal RNA is filed under the name uncultured bacterium. RNAcentral's name for it is "partial small subunit ribosomal RNA". It matches the Rfam family "Bacterial small subunit ribosomal RNA", at positions 26 to 288 of the family's 1533-position model. The record is from RNAcentral.
AGGACGAACGCUGGCGGCGUGCUUAACACAUGCAAGUCGAGCGGAAAGGCCCUUCGGGGUACUCGAGCGGCGAACGGGUGAGUAACACGUGAGCAACCUGCCCUUAGCUUCGGGAUAGCUCCGGGAAACCGGAAUUAAAUACCGAAUAUGACUUUGGCUGACAUCAGCAGAAGUGGAAAGUUUUUCGGCUAGGGAUGGACUCGCGGCCUAUCAGCUAGUUGGUGAGGUAACGGCCCACCAAGGCGACGACGGGGUAGCC